AAGACUAUACUUCACAGGAUCAUUUCUGUAGUCAGUCUUCAUUUACUUUCAUUGCAAAAUGAAAGAAGCAUAACCUGCGAUGAGGAGUCAUAUCGUUUUAUCUGGCAGCGUGAGGUUUAUGAACAUCAUUUCUGAUUUUGUCUUAUGGCAUAUUUGAGUUGAUGUUUCUUCGAUGAUCGCUCGGUUCAAACGGAUAAAACGACUUCUGAGUGGU
Molecule: small nucleolar RNA, 214 nt
Filed under: Rhagoletis pomonella (apple maggot)
Lineage: Eukaryota; Metazoa; Arthropoda; Insecta; Diptera; Tephritidae
Description: small nucleolar RNA U3
Rfam family: Small nucleolar RNA U3
About the family: Small nucleolar RNAs (snoRNAs) are involved in the processing and modification of rRNA in the nucleolus. There are two main classes of snoRNAs: the box C/D class, and the box H/ACA class.
Source: RNAcentral